Sinocyclocheilus anshuiensis is the source of this 1004-nucleotide long non-coding RNA. RefSeq lists it as uncharacterized. NCBI's taxonomy places the organism in Eukaryota, Metazoa, Chordata, Actinopteri, Cypriniformes, Cyprinidae. The record is from RefSeq and is a predicted model, not a curated record. The transcript is spliced from 2 exons.
CUGGGAAAAUGGCACGUAUGGUCACCCUAUUAUAUAAUGCAACACUGUCAAAGUUUAUUAAUGAAAGAUAUUAAAGUGUUCAUGGAAGUGUCAUUUAAAAAAGCGUUGUAAAGAGAAGGGUUUGAUAAGUAUGGUGUUUAAAAAAAAAAAAAAAAAUAAUAAUAAUAAUUUUGUUAAAUUAUGGAUAGUUAUCAAUGAAAGGAAUCAUGAAUUUUGUUACGCAUAAUAACAUUUGUUAGCUGUUGCCUUUUAAUGUCCUUGAUCAAUGCCUUCCAGCUCUGCCAAAUGAAGCUGGCUGCAGUGCUACCAGAAUGCAUGGCUAACUAAACUAACAAGCUUUGUGAUUUUGUUUUAUGCUCUCUAAAUGCAUCUCUAUCUCUGGAUGUCAGAGGUGUAGUAUGCAUAACGCAGAAUUAUCAUCAUCAAAACAGUUUGGGGAAACUGGUCUGGUAAUAUAAAGUAAAAGUGGUUUUGAAAAACAUCUUUUUAAAUUAAAUGCAGACAUUAAUACACUCAUUAAAAUAGUGCUCUUCCCCCAUCUAAACUAAACCACACCCCUCUCUCUAGGAAAAGCCCAGGAGAUAGGCAUGCUGGAGGGUCACAGACAGAGGAAGGAGCUCCCUGACUCCUCGUCCUCCUCCUCCUCCUCCUCACAUUCUGCAAGGCAGUCAGCUCAGAGAGAGGAGCAAAAUAAAACUACAGGCAAAGAGCAAACUGGAGUGAAGAGGAAGGGAAUGACGGUGAAGGGAGAGACCAAAAAGGCCAAAGAGUCCUAAAUUUGUCUCUGCAUCUCAACUCAUAGUACUGAUAGUCUGACAUACUGUAGCUGUGGAUAUUCUGUGUUGAGGUUGGAAAAACUCGCUAGCAAUUUUUGUUGUUGUUUAUUUUUUUUAGAUGCAAAGGUCAAAUUUAUUAUUUUAAGUUUUUUAUGCCGAUACUAAUCGAUAACUAAUAGUAAAUCAUCUGCUCUGAAGAACUGUGACUGAUACGUAAAUAAAAAAAAA